GACGAACGCUGGCGGCGUGCUUAACACAUGCAAGUCGAACGGAAAGGCCCUGCUUUUGUGGGGUGCUCGAGUGGCGAACGGGUGAGUAACACGUGAGUAACCUGCCCUUGACUUUGGGAUAACUUCAGGAAACUGGGGCUAAUACCGGAUAGGAGCUCCUGCUGCAUGGUGGGGGUCGGAAAGUUUCGGCGGUUGGGGAUGGACUCGCGGCUUAUCAGCUUGUUGGUGGGGUAGUGGCUUACCAAGGCUUUGACGGGUAGCCGGCCUGAGAGGGUGACCGGUCACAUUGGGACUGAGAUACGGCCCAGACUCCUACGGGAGGCAGCAGUGGGGAAUAUUGCACAAUGGGCGGAAGCCUGAUGCAGCAACGCCGCGUGCGGGAUGACGGCCUUCGGGUUGUAAACCGCUUUCGCCUGUGACGAAGCGUGAGUGACGGUAAUGGGUAAAGAAGCACCGGCUAACUACGUG
Molecule: ribosomal RNA, 468 nt
Filed under: uncultured bacterium
Lineage: Bacteria
Description: partial 16S ribosomal RNA
Rfam family: Bacterial small subunit ribosomal RNA
Source: RNAcentral